CCUACGGGGGGCAGCAGUGGGGAAUAUUGCACAAUGGGCGCAAGCCUGAUGCAGCCAUGCCGCGUGUGUGAAGAAGGCCUUCGAGUUGUAAAGCACUUUCAGCGGGGAGGAAGGCGUUAAGGUUAAUAACCUUGUCGAUUGACGUUACCCGCAGAAGAAGCACCGGCUAACUCCGUGCCAGCAGCCGCGGUAAUACGGAGGGUGCAAGCGUUAAUCGGAAUUACUGGGCGUAAAGCGCACGCAGGCGGUCUGUCAAGUCGGAUGUGAAAUCCCCGGGCUCAACCUGGGAACUGCAUUCGAAACGGGCAGGCUAGAGUCUUGUAGAGGGGGGUAGAAUUCCAGGUGUAGCGGUGAAAUGCGUAGAGAUCUGGAGGAAUACCGGUGGCGAAGGCGGCCCCCUGGACAAAGACUGACGCUCAGGUGCGAAAGCGUGGGGAGCAAACAGGAUUAGAUACCCGAGUAGUC
Molecule: ribosomal RNA, 465 nt
Filed under: uncultured Klebsiella sp.
Lineage: Bacteria; Pseudomonadati; Pseudomonadota; Gammaproteobacteria; Enterobacterales; Enterobacteriaceae
Description: bacterial SSU rRNA
Rfam family: Bacterial small subunit ribosomal RNA
Source: RNAcentral